AGUGUGGCUCAGUGGUAGAGCACCAUAUCUAGCGUACAUGAGGUCUUGGAUUCAAUUCCCAGCACU
This 66-nucleotide transfer RNA is filed under the name Cavia porcellus (domestic guinea pig). The record is from Rfam by way of RNAcentral. Lineage: Eukaryota; Metazoa; Chordata; Mammalia; Rodentia; Caviidae.